RNAcentral lists this transfer RNA (76 nucleotides) under Vallitalea longa. RNAcentral's name for it is "tRNA-Lys". It matches the Rfam family "tRNA". Rfam says of the family: Transfer RNA (tRNA) molecules are approximately 80 nucleotides in length. Their secondary structure includes four short double-helical elements and three loops (D, anti-codon, and T loops). The record is from RNAcentral. Lineage: Bacteria; Bacillati; Bacillota; Clostridia; Lachnospirales; Vallitaleaceae.
UGGGCCACUAGCUCAGUCGGCUAGAGCACUGGACUUUUAAUCCAGGUGUCCCGGGUUCGAAUCCCGGGUGGCUCAU